UUGCAAACAAAGAAGAAAUAACUCAUCAGGUGGUGAACCUCUGACCCUGGAUCAAAGUCACUGACCUGAUGCUACAGUAGCCUUUGCCUUUACUGUGGAGGCUGUGAGCCGAGUGAGAACUGGCCCACAACUGCCUCCACAGCCCCUGUCACUGAGGCUUUAUAUGGCUGCCUGCAGCUGUGGAGAGCUUGAUGCCCCUGUGGGAUCAUGAGAUGCUUGAAUUAAAAAUUUCCAGGUAUUGUACAAACAAAAGAGAAAAGGAUCUACCCAAAUCUGCUGCUGUUGGCUGCCGGUGAGGUCCCAACCCUGCAAGGUGCCAGCCAUGCUGGUAGGAGAUUGAUAAGAAGACUGGGGCAUCCUGGGAACUGAGGAUUUCAAGGUCAAUUGGUCAUGUCUGCUGUUUGGAACAGCCCCAGCACUGCCAUUAUCUAUCCCCCUGAUGAACCUGUUGGUGGCUGCAGCUACUGGAGGUUGGGAGCUGGGGCAUCCAAGCUUAAGUACCCAAUAGACCUCUCCAGACAUCCUGGUGAACAAAUGUCAAAAUGCCAUGCAUACGUGGGCAUAAGUUUGACUGUUUAAAAGGUAGAGUCUAAUCCCAAAUGGUAACUAGAUAUGAGUUGCAUUAGAGACCCCUUGGAGCCCAGGAGGAGUUUGUAAGAUGGUGGGUAUUGAAGCUAUUGUGAGAUGAUGGUGUUUCCAGAGACAAAAUGGGGAUCAAGGGGAACCAACAGAGACAAAGACCCUCAUUGUUCACAUCUCAGCCUUGGAUUCAUCUUACGCAUCUUAUUGAUUAUGUUGUUAACAUAAGUAACUAGAGAUAUGGUGUUACUUGAAUCACUAGUAUGUGUUAGCAGGAAACCAGGGGCAUGCUGAUACUUGAAGUUCUUGUAGUUGACCCCUGACUCUGGGGUAAGAGUAAAGCAUUCCUCAAAAACUUAGAACGACCAAGUGUAGACUGGAUGGUAUAGCUCUGUGUGGUAGAAGACUUAGUUCUCUUUUGGUUUUACCAGAAGAUAUUGCAAGAUGGAUAGUAUUAUCUCUGGUAAA
Long non-coding RNA from Chiroxiphia lanceolata (lance-tailed manakin), 1047 nucleotides. RefSeq lists it as uncharacterized. The transcript is spliced from 3 exons. The record is from RefSeq and is a predicted model, not a curated record. Lineage: Eukaryota; Metazoa; Chordata; Aves; Passeriformes; Pipridae.